This 279-nucleotide ribosomal RNA is filed under the name uncultured bacterium. RNAcentral's name for it is "partial 16S ribosomal RNA". It matches the Rfam family "Bacterial small subunit ribosomal RNA", at positions 28 to 303 of the family's 1533-position model. The record is from RNAcentral.
GACGAACGCUGGCGGCGUGCUUAACACAUGCAAGUCGAGCGGUAAGGCCCUUUCGGGGUACGACGAGCGGCGAACGGGUGAGUAACACGUGGGUGACCUGCCCUCCAGCUCUGGGAGUAAGACCUGGGAAACCGGGGUACUAAUACCGGAUAUGACUCCAUGACGCAUGUUGUGGGGUGGAAAGCCUUGUGCGGCUGAGGAUGGGCCCGCGGCCUAUCAGCUUGUUGGUGGGGUGAUGGCCUACCAAGGCGACGACGGGUAGCCGGCCUGAGAGGGCGA